CACUCCUACGGGAGGCAGCAGUGGGGAAUUUUGGACAAUGGGCGAAAGCCUGAUCCAGCAAUGCCGCGUGAGUGAAGAAGGCCUUCGGGUUGUAAAGCUCUUUUGUCAGGGAAGAAACGGUGAGAGCUAAUAUCUUUUGCUAAUGACGGUACCUGAAGAAUAAGCACCGGCUAACUACGUGCCAGCAGCCGCGGUAAUACGUAGGGUGCAAGCGUUAAUCGGAAUUACUGGGCGUAAAGCGUGCGCAGGCGGUUUUGUAAGUCUGAUGUGAAAUCCCCGGGCUCAACCUGGGAAUUGCAUUGGAGACUGCAAGGCUAGAAUCUGGCAGAGGGGGGUAGAAUUCCACGUGUAGCAGUGAAAUGCGUAGAUAUGUGGAGGAACACCGAUGGCGAAGGCAGCCCCCUGGGUCAAGAUUGACGCUCAUGCACGAAAGCGUGGGGAGCAAACAGGAUUAGAUACCCUUGUAGUCC
This 470-nucleotide ribosomal RNA is filed under the name uncultured organism. Its description in RNAcentral is "partial 16S ribosomal RNA". It matches the Rfam family "Bacterial small subunit ribosomal RNA", at positions 334 to 796 of the family's 1533-position model. The record is from RNAcentral.